This 30-nucleotide non-coding RNA is filed under the name Cricetulus griseus (Chinese hamster). The record is from RNAcentral. Lineage: Eukaryota; Metazoa; Chordata; Mammalia; Rodentia; Cricetidae.
UGUGAGAUAUGUUUGACGGGAAAACAAAAG